RNAcentral lists this ribosomal RNA (402 nucleotides) under bacterium. Its description in RNAcentral is "partial 16S ribosomal RNA". It matches the Rfam family "Bacterial small subunit ribosomal RNA", at positions 355 to 776 of the family's 1533-position model. The record is from RNAcentral.
UGGGGAAUUUUGCUCAAUGGGGGAAACCCUGAUGCAGCGACGCCGCGUGAUUUAGAAGGCCUUCGGGUUGUAAAAAUUUUUUCUAUGGGAAGAAAAUGACAGUACCAUAGGAAUAAGGACCGGCUAAUUACGUGCCAGCAGCCGCGGUAAUACGUAAGGUCCGAGCGUUGUCCGGAAUCAUUGGGCGUAAAGGGUACGUAGGCGGGUAAGCAAGUUAGAAGUGAAAUCCUAUAGCUCAACUAUAGUAAGCUUUUAAAACUGCUCAUCUUGAGGUAUGGAAGGGAAAGUGGAAUUCCUAGUGUAGCGGAGAAAUGCGCAGAUAUUAGGAGGAAUACCGGUGGCGAAGGCGACUUUCUGGCCAUAACCUGACGCUGAGGUACGAAAGCGUGGGUAGCAAACAGG